GAUGAACGCUGGCGGCGUGCCUAAUACAUGCAAGUCGAGCGAACAGACGAGGAGCUUGCUCCUCUGACGUUAGCGGCGGACGGGUGAGUAACACGUGGAUAACCUACCUAUAAGACUGGGAUAACUUAGGGAAACCGGAGCUAAUACCGGAUAAUAUAUUGAACCGCAUGGUUCAAUAGUGAAAGACGGUUUUGCUGUCACUUAUAGAUGGAUCCGCGCCGCAUUAGCUAGUUGGUAAGGUAACGGCUUACCAAGGCAACGAUGCGUAGCCGACCUGAGAGGGUGAUCGGCCACACUGGAACUGAGACACGGUCCAGACUCCUACGGGAGGCAGCAGUAGGGAAUCUUCCGCAAUGGGCGAAGGCCUGACGGGGCAACGCCGCGUGAGUGAUGAAGGUCUUCGGAUCGUAAAACUCUGUUAUUAGGGAAGAACAAAUGUGUAAGUAACUAUGCACGUCUUGACGGUACCUAAUCAGUAAGCCACGGCUAACUACGUG
RNAcentral lists this ribosomal RNA (497 nucleotides) under uncultured bacterium. RNAcentral's name for it is "partial 16S ribosomal RNA". It matches the Rfam family "Bacterial small subunit ribosomal RNA", at positions 28 to 507 of the family's 1533-position model. The record is from RNAcentral.